This 253-nucleotide ribosomal RNA is filed under the name uncultured bacterium. RNAcentral's name for it is "partial 16S ribosomal RNA". It matches the Rfam family "Bacterial small subunit ribosomal RNA", at positions 524 to 776 of the family's 1533-position model. The record is from RNAcentral.
UACGAAGGGUGCAAGCGUUACUCGGAAUUACUGGGCGUAAAGCGUGCGUAGGUGGUUUGUUAAGUCUGUUGUGAAAGCCCCGGGCUCAACCUGGGAAUGGCAAUGGAUACUGGCAAGCUUGAGUGCGGUAGAGGGUAGUGGAAUUCCCGGUGUAGCGGUGAAAUGCGUAGAGAUCGGGAGGAACACCAGUGGCGAAGGCGGCUACCUGGACCAGCACUGACACUGAGGCACGAAAGCGUGGGGAGCAAACAGG